UUUAAAAUUCGAGCAAUUGGCCGUAGAUUAAACUAGUACCAUGGGUCUCUUUUGGACAGUCUACUGUUCAUGUAAUGGGAGGUCUGUGGUAUUCUCAGCUUUAAAACCAUCGCUGUUAGAGGUUGCUUCUGAAUUAUGUUUGGUUAAGCGAUCCAUGAAAUGGUGAUGACCUAGAGUCUGGAACAUCA
This 188-nucleotide small nucleolar RNA is filed under the name Vanderwaltozyma polyspora DSM 70294. Its description in RNAcentral is "Small nucleolar RNA snR42". It matches the Rfam family "Small nucleolar RNA snR42". Lineage: Eukaryota; Fungi; Ascomycota; Saccharomycetes; Saccharomycetales; Saccharomycetaceae. The record is from Rfam by way of RNAcentral.